AUACGGAGGGUGCGAGCGUUACUCGGAGUCACUGGGCGUAAAGCGUCCGUAGGCGGUCGGGUAAGUCGGGUGUGAAAGCCCCGGGCUCAACCUGGGAAGUGCACCCGAUACUGCUCGACUCGAGUGCGGGAGAGGAUGGCGGAAUUCCCGGUGUAGCGGUGAAAUGCGUAGAGAUCGGGAGGAACACCAGUGGCGAAGGCGGCCAUCUGGCCCGCAACUGACGCUGAGGGACGAAAGCGUGGGUAGCAAACGGGAUUAGAUACCCUAGUAGUCC
This 274-nucleotide ribosomal RNA is filed under the name uncultured bacterium. RNAcentral's name for it is "partial 16S ribosomal RNA". It matches the Rfam family "Bacterial small subunit ribosomal RNA", at positions 523 to 796 of the family's 1533-position model. The record is from RNAcentral.